This 301-nucleotide ribosomal RNA is filed under the name uncultured bacterium. Its description in RNAcentral is "partial 16S ribosomal RNA". It matches the Rfam family "Bacterial small subunit ribosomal RNA", at positions 509 to 809 of the family's 1533-position model. The record is from RNAcentral.
CAGCAGCCACGGGAAUACGAAGGGGGCUAGCGUUGCUCGGAAUGACUGGGCGUAAAGCGCACGUAGGCGGCUUUGUAAGUUAGAGGUGAAAGCCUGGGGCUCAACUCCGGAAUUGCCUUUAAGACUGCAUCGCUUGAACGUCGGAGAGGUGAGUGGAAUUCCGAGUGUAGAGGUGAAAUUCGUAGAUAUUCGGAAGAACACCAGUGGCGAAGGCGGCUCACUGGACGACUGUUGACGCUGAGGUGCGAAAGCGUGGGGAGCAAACAGGAUUAGAUACCCCAGUAGUCCCUGUCUCUUAUAA